UCGGGAUAGCUCAGCUGGAGAGCAG
RNAcentral lists this transfer RNA (25 nucleotides) under Geum rossii. RNAcentral describes it as "partial transfer RNA-Phe (GAA)". Lineage: Eukaryota; Viridiplantae; Streptophyta; Magnoliopsida; Rosales; Rosaceae. The record is from RNAcentral.